UGUUGGACGCAACACUGGGAGUGACUGAAUAAACUUACUGGCAUAUAGCUGGUUAAGGUGAUGUGAUACAGGUGGUGCUGCUGCUUCGGAAGAAGUAGAACCGAUCAACCAAUCGGAUCACAGGCAGAGAUGAUUUCUAAACUGUAGAAAUGCCCAUCUCUUGUUGGUAUACAGGAACCCAACCUCCCCUCUU
Molecule: non-coding RNA, 193 nt
Filed under: unclassified sequences
Description: manA RNA
Rfam family: manA RNA
About the family: manA RNA has been located in 5'UTR regions of genes of mannose or fructose metabolism. Has been proposed as a cis-regulatory element and as a riboswitch candidate for his complex secondary structure.
Source: RNAcentral